This 305-nucleotide ribosomal RNA is filed under the name uncultured bacterium. RNAcentral's name for it is "partial 16S ribosomal RNA". It matches the Rfam family "Bacterial small subunit ribosomal RNA", at positions 335 to 657 of the family's 1533-position model. The record is from RNAcentral.
UUCCCUACGGGGGGCAGCAGUGGGGGAUAUUGCACAAUGGGGGGAACCCUGAUGCAGCUCCGCCUCUUUUUUUCCUCCUCGCCUCGGCGCGUAAAGCCCUGUCAGCAGGGCCGAAAAUGACGGUACCUGCAGAAGAAGCCCCGGCUAACUACGUGCCAGCAGCCGCGGUAAUACGUAGGGGGCAAGCGUUAUCCGGAUUUACUGGGUGUAAAGGGGGCGCAGACGGCGAUGCAAGCCAGGAGUGAAAGCCCGGGGCCCAACCCCGGGACUGCUCUUGGAACUGCGUGGCUGGAGUGCAGGAGGGG